RNAcentral lists this ribosomal RNA (253 nucleotides) under uncultured bacterium. RNAcentral's name for it is "partial 16S ribosomal RNA". It matches the Rfam family "Bacterial small subunit ribosomal RNA", at positions 524 to 776 of the family's 1533-position model. The record is from RNAcentral.
UACGUAGGGGGCAAGCGUUGUCCGGAUUUAUUGGGCGUAAAGAGCGUGUAGGCGGCUAGGUAGGUCCGUUGUGAAAACUCGAGGCUCAACCUCGAGACGUCGAUGGAAACCAUCUAGCUAGAGUCCGGAAGAGGAGAGUGGAAUUCCUGGUGUAGCGGUGAAAUGCGCAGAUAUCAGGAGGAACACCGAUGGCGAAGGCAGCUCGCUGGGACGGUACUGACGCUGAGGCGCGAAAGCGUGGGGAGCAAACAGG